ACGCUCGACACCUACGGGGGCAGCAGUGGGGAAUAUUGCACAAUGGGGGAAACCCUGAUGCAGCGACGCCGCGUGAGUGAAGAAGUAUUUCGGUAUGUAAAGCUCUAUCAGCAGGGAAGAAGAUGACGGUACCUGAGUAAGAAGCCCCGGCUAACUACGUGCCAGCAGCCGCGGUAAUCUGAGGCGGCUGGCAAGGC
Molecule: ribosomal RNA, 197 nt
Filed under: uncultured bacterium
Lineage: Bacteria
Description: partial 16S ribosomal RNA
Rfam family: Bacterial small subunit ribosomal RNA
Source: RNAcentral